UAGCCAGUGAUGGCAUGCGAAUCUCGAAAGCCUAUCUCAGUUCGGAUUGGAGGCUGAAACCCGCCUCCAUGAAGUUGGAUUCGCUAGUAAUCGCGCAUCAGCCAUGGCGCGGUGAAUACGUUCCCGGGCCUUGUACACACCGCCCGUCAAGCCAUGGGAGCCGGGGGUGCCUGAAGUUCGUUACCGUAAGGAUCGACCUAGGGCAAAACUGGUGACUGGGGCUAAGUCGUAACAAGGUAGC
This 241-nucleotide ribosomal RNA is filed under the name uncultured bacterium. RNAcentral's name for it is "partial 16S ribosomal RNA". It matches the Rfam family "Bacterial small subunit ribosomal RNA", at positions 1251 to 1500 of the family's 1533-position model. The record is from RNAcentral.